This 490-nucleotide ribosomal RNA is filed under the name uncultured bacterium. Its description in RNAcentral is "partial 16S ribosomal RNA". It matches the Rfam family "Bacterial small subunit ribosomal RNA", at positions 30 to 507 of the family's 1533-position model. The record is from RNAcentral.
AUUGAACGCUGGCGGCAUGCCUUACACAUGCAAGUCGAACGGCAGCAUGAUCUAGCUUGCUAGAUUGAUGGCGAGUGGCGAACGGGUGAGUAAUACAUCGGAACGUGCCCUGUCGUGGGGGAUAACUAGUCGAAAGAUUAGCUAAUACCGCAUACGACCUGAGGGUGAAAGUGGGGGACCGCAAGGCCUCAUGCUAUAGGAGCGGCCGAUGUCUGAUUAGCUAGUUGGUGAGGUAAAGGCUCACCAAGGCGACGAUCAGUAGCUGGUCUGAGAGGACGAUCAGCCACACUGGGACUGAGACACGGCCCAGACUCCUACGGGAGGCAGCAGUGGGGAAUUUUGGACAAUGGGCGAAAGCCUGAUCCAGCAAUGCCGCGUGUGUGAAGAAGUCCUUCGGGUUGUAAAGCACUUUUGUCCGGAAAGAAAUAGCUCUGGUUAAUACCUGGGGUCGAUGACGGUACCGGAAGAAUAAGGACCGGCUAACUACGUG